AGAACGAACGCUGGCGGCAUGCCUAAUACAUGCAAGUCGAACGAACACUUCGGUGUUAGUGGCGCACGGGUGCGUAACGCGUGGGAAUCUGCCCUUGGGUUCGGAAUAACAGUUGGAAACGACUGCUAAUACCGGAUGAUAUCGAAAGAUCAAAGAUUUAUCGCCCAGGGAUGAGCCCGCGUAGGAUUAGCUAGUUGGUGAGGUAAAGGCUCACCAAGGCGACGAUCCUUAGCUGGUCUGAGAGGAUGAUCAGCCACACUGGGACUGAGACACGGCCCAGACUCCGUACGGGAGCAGCAGUAGGGAAUAUGGACAA
This 316-nucleotide ribosomal RNA is filed under the name uncultured soil bacterium. RNAcentral's name for it is "bacterial SSU rRNA". It matches the Rfam family "Bacterial small subunit ribosomal RNA", at positions 26 to 371 of the family's 1533-position model. The record is from RNAcentral.